ACUGCCACUAACAGCAUUACAUGUGUGUCUGCUUUGUCACACAAGCAUCAGUAGAUGGCAGAGAGGAGAGAGGCUAUGUCUAUGCUUAGUAGCCUAACAUU
Molecule: small nucleolar RNA, 101 nt
Organism: Rattus norvegicus (Norway rat)
Lineage: Eukaryota; Metazoa; Chordata; Mammalia; Rodentia; Muridae
Product: small nucleolar RNA SNORA17
Source: Ensembl